This 120-nucleotide ribosomal RNA is filed under the name uncultured bacterium. RNAcentral's name for it is "partial 16S ribosomal RNA". It matches the Rfam family "Bacterial small subunit ribosomal RNA", at positions 796 to 914 of the family's 1533-position model. The record is from RNAcentral.
CUAGCCGUAAACUAUGAGUACUGAAUUGAAGGGUCCUUCAUAGCCCUUCAGUUGUAGCGAAAGUGUUAAGUACUCCGCCUGGGGAGUAUGGUCGCAAGGCUGAAACUCAAAGAAAUUGAC